RNAcentral lists this long non-coding RNA (475 nucleotides) under Anser brachyrhynchus (Pink-footed goose). Its description in RNAcentral is "lncRNA (ENSABRG00000017969.1)". The record is from RNAcentral. Lineage: Eukaryota; Metazoa; Chordata; Aves; Anseriformes; Anatidae.
UCUCAAAGCUGGCCUUGCAGACACGCUAGUGAGAGGAAAGGCAUUUCCAAACUUGCAGUGAGUGCAUUUUGGCUGGUGGAAGCUUUCCCCAGUGCUAUGGCUUUUGCCAAGAAGCUCAGAAUUGCUCAAAGAGCAGCCAGUGUUGCAGACAGAAGAGAACUGUGGGCUUGUUUCUGAAGGACUUUCUGAAGGUGGCCGGUACAGAUAAAGCGACUUCUGCUCAGACAUAAUUCAUAUGGAGGCAUGCUGGAAGGUAAAAGUACCUGAUCAGAAUCAAAUGCAGCCCUGGUCCAUGAUGGCAUUCCUCCAGGCUGCAUGGGGCUACGCACAAUCACUGUUUUCUUUCAAAGGCUUUAGCAAGAGAAAUGUUUGCCCGGAAAAACUCCAUGCCAUGAUCUCAAUGCUGUCCUGAACACAGCCUCAUAUCUCAAACCAAGCAGCGUGCAAAGGUACUUACUUCAUUGUGUCAAGUAAG